AGAAAGAAUCACAAUCAAAUCCAGUUACUAUGCUUGGUAGCCACCGUGAAAAUUGGGGAGAGACCAAUGUUGCCGAUGGCAGUCCUAGAACUGAUACCUCAACAGAUGACACAGAUGACAAAAAUCAAAAGAGUGAAAGAGGACAGUCAACUGCAGUCAUGGCAUCUGAUUCUAGUGACAAAUCAAAGGAAAAGUCAGGGGAUCAAAAGACAUUGCGCAGACUUGCUCAAAAUCGUGAAGCUGC
RNAcentral lists this unclassified non-coding RNA (244 nucleotides) under Hevea brasiliensis (rubber tree). The record is from RNAcentral. Lineage: Eukaryota; Viridiplantae; Streptophyta; Magnoliopsida; Malpighiales; Euphorbiaceae.